GUGGGGAAUUUUGGACAAUGGGCGAAAGCCUGAUCCAGCAAUGCCGCGUGUGUGAAGAAGGCCUUCGGGUUGUAAAGCACUUUUGUCCGGAAAGAAAUCUGUCUGGCUAAUACCCGGACGGGAUGACGGUACCGGAAGAAUAAGCACCGGCUAACUACGUGCCAGCAGCCGCGGUAAUACGUAGGGUGCGAGCGUUAAUCGGAAUUACUGGGCGUAAAGCGUGCGCAGGCGGUGUUGUAAGACCGAUGUGAAAUCCCCGGGCUUAACCUGGGAACUGCAUUGGUGACUGCAAGGCUAGAGUGCGUCAGAGGGGGGUGGAAUUCCGCGUGUAGCAGUGAAAUGCGUAGAGAUGCGGAGGAACACCGAUGGCGAAGGCAGCCCCCUGGGAUGACACUGACGCUCAUGCACGAAAGCGUGGGGAGCAAACAGGAUUAGAUACCCCUGUAGUCC
This 450-nucleotide ribosomal RNA is filed under the name uncultured bacterium. RNAcentral describes it as "partial 16S ribosomal RNA". It matches the Rfam family "Bacterial small subunit ribosomal RNA", at positions 354 to 796 of the family's 1533-position model. The record is from RNAcentral.